This 514-nucleotide ribosomal RNA is filed under the name Salina celebensis. Its description in RNAcentral is "partial 16S ribosomal RNA". It matches the Rfam family "Bacterial large subunit ribosomal RNA", at positions 1804 to 2620 of the family's 2925-position model. The record is from RNAcentral. Lineage: Eukaryota; Metazoa; Arthropoda; Collembola; Entomobryomorpha; Paronellidae.
UUUUCAAAAACAUUUCUUUUUGUUUACAUGAAAAGUAAAGCCUGCCCACUGAAGUUUGAAGGGCCGCGGUAUAUUGACCGUGCUAAGGUAGCAUAAUCAUUAGUCUUUUAAUUAAGGAAUAGAAUGAAUGGUUAAACUUAGGUGUGUUGUGUGAGUUAAUUAUUUUUGAAUUUUAAAUUUAAGUGAAAAUGCUUAAUUUUGGUAAAAAGACGAUAAGACCCUAUAGAGCUUGAUUUUGAAAAUUAAUGUCAAUUAUAGUUGUGGGGAGAUUUUAUUUUUUAAAGUUUAAUUGGGGCAAUUAAAGAAUAGAAAAAACUUCUUUGAAUUCUUAGAUCUUAAAAUUUAAAAAUGAAAAAGUUACCUUAGGGAUAACAGCGUAAUGUUUAUUGAGAGUUCUUAUCGACAUAAUUGUUUGCGACCUCGAUGUUGAAUUAAAAUUUCUGUUUGGGGCAGUUCUUAUAAUAGAUGGUCUGUUCGACCAUUAAAAUUUUACAUGAUUUGAGUCCAGACCGGA